GCUCAGAUUGAACGCUGGCGGCAGGCCUAACACAUGCAAGUCGAACGGUAACAGGAAGCAGCUUGCUGCUUUGCUGACGAGUGGCGGACGGGUGAGUAAUGUCUGGGAAACUGCCUGAUGGAGGGGGAUAACUACUGGAAACGGUGGCUAAUACCGCAUAACGUCGCAAGACCAAAGAGGGGGACCUUCGGGCCUCUUGCCAUCAGAUGUGCCCAGAUGGGAUUAGCUUGUUGGUGAGGUAACGGCUCACCAAGGCGACGAUCCCUAGCUGGUCUGAGAGGAUGACCAGCCACACUGGAACUGAGACACGGUCCAGACUCCUACGGGAGGCAGCAGUGGGGAAUAUUGCACAAUGGGCGCAAGCCUGAUGCAGCCAUGCCGCGUGUAUGAAGAAGGCCUUCGGGUUGUAAAGUACUUUCAGCGGGGAGGAAGGUGUUGUGGUUAAUAACCGCAGCAAUUGACGUUACCCGCAGAAGAAGCACCGGCUAACUCCGUGCCAGCAGCCGCGGUAAUACGGAGGGUGCAAGCGUUAAUCGGAAUUACUGGGCGUAAAGCGCACGCAGGCGGUCUGUCAAGUCGGAUGUGAAAUCCCCGGGCUCAACCUGGGAACUGCAUUCGAAACUGGCAGGCUUGAGUCUUGUAGAGGGGGGUAGAAUUCCAGGUGUAGCGGUGAAAUGCGUAGAGAUCUGGAGGAAUACCGGUGGCGAAGGCGGCCCCCUGGACAAAGACUGACGCUCAGGUGCGAAAGCGUGGGGAGCAAACAGGAUUAGAUACCCUGGUAGUCCACGCCGUAAACGAUGUCUACUUGGAGGUUGUGCCCUUGAGGCGUGGCUUCCGGAGCUAACGCGUUAAGUAGACCGCCUGGGGAGUACGGCCGCAAGGUUAAAACUCAAAUGAAUUGACGGGGGCCCGCACAAGCGGUGGAGCAUGUGGUUUAAUUCGAUGCAACGCGAAGAACCUUACCUGGUCUUGACAUCCACAGAACUUUCCAGAGAUGGACUGGUGCCUUCGGGAACUGUGAGACAGGUGCUGCAUGGCUGUCGUCAGCUCGUGUUGUGAAAUGUUGGGUUAAGUCCCGCAACGAGCGCAACCCUUAUCCUUUGUUGCCAGCGGUUAGGCCGGGAACUCAAAGGAGACUGCCAGUGAUAAACUGGAGGAAGGUGGGGAUGACGUCAAGUCAUCAUGGCCCUUACGACCAGGGCUACACACGUGCUACAAUGGCGCAUACAAAGAGAAGCGACCUCGCGAGAGCAAGCGGACCUCAUAAAGUGCGUCGUAGUCCGGAUUGGAGUCUGCAACUCGACUCCAUGAAGUCGGAAUCGCUAGUAAUCGUGGAUCAGAAUGCCACGGUGAAUACGUUCCCGGGCCUUGUACACACCGCCCGUCACACCAUGGGAGUGGGUUGCAAAAGAAGUAGGUAGCUUAACCUUCGGGAGGGCGCUUACCACUUUGUGAUUCAUGACUGGGGUGAAGUCGUAACAAGGUAACCGUAGGGGAACCUGCGGUUGGAUCACCUCCUUACCU
Molecule: ribosomal RNA, 1524 nt
Filed under: Salmonella enterica
Lineage: Bacteria; Pseudomonadati; Pseudomonadota; Gammaproteobacteria; Enterobacterales; Enterobacteriaceae
Description: bacterial SSU rRNA
Rfam family: Bacterial small subunit ribosomal RNA
Source: RNAcentral